RNAcentral lists this ribosomal RNA (869 nucleotides) under uncultured Bacteroidota bacterium. Its description in RNAcentral is "bacterial SSU rRNA". It matches the Rfam family "Bacterial small subunit ribosomal RNA", at positions 54 to 925 of the family's 1533-position model. The record is from RNAcentral. Lineage: Bacteria; Pseudomonadati; Bacteroidota.
CAUGCAGUCGAGGGGUAUAUAUUAGCUUGCUAAUAUAGAGACCGGCGCACGGGUGCGUAACGCGUAUGCAACCUACCUAUUACAGGGGAAUAGCCCGGAGAAAUCCGGAUUAAUGCCCCAUGGUAUUGAGAACUCACCUGAGUUUUUAAUUAAAGAUUUAUCGGUAAUAGAUGGGCAUGCGUCCUAUUAGCUAGAUGGAGUGGUAACGGCACCCCAUGGCAACGAUAGGUAGGGGCCCUGAGAGGGGGAUCCCCCACACUGGUACUGAGACACGGACCAGACUCCUACGGGAGGCAGCAGUGAGGAAUAUUGGACAAUGGUGGGAACACUGAUCCAGCCAUGCCGCGUGUAGGAAGACAGCCCUAUGGGUUUUAAACUACUUUUAUACAGGAAGAAUAAGGAGUACGUGUACUCUGAUGACGGUACUGUAAGAAUAAGGACCGGCUAACUCCGUGCCAGCAGCCGCGGUAAUACGGAGGGUCCGAGCGUUAUCCGGAAUCAUUGGGUUUAAAGGGUCCGUAGGCGGGCUAAUAAGUCAGAGGUGAAAGUUUGCAGCUCAACUGUAAAAUUGCCUUUGAUACUGUUAGUCUUGAAUUAUUAUGAAGUGGUUAGAAUGUGUAGUGUAGCGGUGAAAUGCAUAGAUAUUACACAGAAUACCGAUUGCGAAGGCAGAUCACUAAUAGUAAAUUGACGCUGAUGGACGAAAGCGUGGGUAGCGAACAGGAUUAGAUACCCUGGUAGUCCACGCCGUAAACGAUGGUCACUAGCUGUUCGAACUUCGGUUUGAGUGGUUAAGCGAAAGUGAUAAGUGACCCACCUGGGGAGUACGUUCGCAAGAAUGAAACUCAAAGGAAUUGACGGGGCCCGCA